RNAcentral lists this long non-coding RNA (7691 nucleotides) under Solanum tuberosum (potato). Its description in RNAcentral is "long non-coding RNA (STUB_LNC009047)". The record is from RNAcentral. Lineage: Eukaryota; Viridiplantae; Streptophyta; Magnoliopsida; Solanales; Solanaceae.
UUGAUUAUUGGGCUUUGACCCUUCUUGAUAUAGGGCGUCGGCCCUUUUUGAUACCUGCUUGUGCUUGGUGUGACGACAUGAUGUAUAUAUUGGGCGAGCCUUGUUAUUGAAUCUCUUGGAAAUUGGUGCUAUGAGCGUUUUUGACAUUUGGAUCUUUAAAUUUCGAACUUGAUACUCUUAUUAUAUUGUUUACUUGAUUUAAUUAUUAUGUUUCAAUGGUGCUGCCCAUGACUUGAGAAAGUUAACUUGGUGAAUCUGAUGACUCCGAACCUAUAGUUUUUACACCACUACACUGUAUGCUUAGCGAUAGUUGUUUCUAUCGUAUGGAAUGAUCGAGUGGAUGCAUGAAGCUGGCCAUUGGUGAUGGAAAUUUUGAGAGCCUUAAGGACAAUCACAUUUGCAUAUAGGCAUCUAUAUUUUAUAUAAACCUUGGGACUUGUACAUGAUCUAUGUGUUGUAUGUUUACAUGAAAUUUUGAGGACUAUUUUGAUCAUGUCACCAUGGGUUGUAAUAUAAGUAUGUCUACAUGUUUUGUUCUUUCGGGGUGCGUAAACCUAGGUCUUGUAAUAUACGAAAUUUACUACUAAUUUUGAAUGAAUGUGUGAAGCAUGAACCACCUAGUUUGGGUACUCGGAGGUUAGUAAUAUUCUUUUUAUAUCAUUUUUACUAGUGUGAGGAUAAUAUAUGCAUAAGAAUCUCGUGAGUCAUUGGCUUAUAUUAUUUCGAAAGGGUCGCUACAAGUGUUGGUAUCAGAGCCUAGGUUUGUGGUUCUAGGACUUUUGCUGUGAAUUACUUGUAUACUUGUUCGUUUUCGAAAAAGGUUCUCUUUGGAUUAUUUGUUCACUAACAUAGUUUAUAAUAUUUUAUCGCAUGUAGAGUGCACAAGUAUCAUGUACAUGUCCCUAAUGCAAUGUGAUCUUCCCUUUUGAAGGAAUUAAGUUAUGGUCUCUUCUUUUGACCGACCUAUGGAAGCUGCUCGUGAAGGUUCGGGUACCUCUGUGCCCCAACCUUAUGCACUAGAAGAGGUUAGAGAACAUUUCUCGAAUCAAUAUGUUCCCCACACUAGUGGGUUUGAAGUGGGAAAUCAUCAGGGUGUAAGAGCUGGUUCAUAUCCUCAGAUGAGUCGUGGUACUCAAGCCAUGAAUCCUCCUUUCCAACAAAUGGCCAAAUUCUUCCACCACAUGGCUGAAGCGAUGCAUGAUCCCAACGUGAUUAACUUUGAGAAAAUGAGGAAAAUGGGUGGAGUGGAGUUUGAAGGCACUAUUGAUCCCACAGAUGUUGAACAAGGGUUGGAGCGCAUGGAGAGGGUAUUUGAGCAGGUAGAGUGUUCAGAGGUUGCCAAAUUUAAGUAUGCUAUUUCACUAUUACAAAAGGAUGCCUACGAUUGGUGGGUAAGGGUUCCAAAUGCCAAGGUAAAACCUCCUGUUCUUACUUGGGAUGAUUUUCUUAGGGAAUUUCGUAUGAAGUAUGUCCCACCUUCUUAUUGUGAUGCAAAGAGAAAUGAGUUUUUGAAUGUAAGGCAACGAUGCAUGUCUACUGCUGAGUACCAACAUGAGUUUCUAAGGCUUUCUCGUUACGCUAUAGGUAUUAUUAAAGAGGAAAAAGACAAGUAAAGGAAAUUUGAAGAUGGUUUAAAUGAUUCCAUUAGAAAGAAUGUGGCGAUCCAGCAACAUGAGAACUUUUGUAAGUUAGUGUCUGCUACUUUUACUUGGGAACGACUUGAUAAAGAAGAAGCUAGUACAAAUGAAAACAAAUUUCGAAAGCCUAGACCAGAUUUGGGGGUCCAUCAAAAAGGGAAGGUUUGAUAAUUCUAAGGCUGGUAGUGAUAACAGGCCAUCGCAAUAUGAAGUAUGUCCCACCUUCUUAUUGUGAUGCAAAGAGAAAUGAGUUUUUGAAUGUAAGGCAACGAUGCAUGUCUACUGCUGAGUACCAACAUGAGUUUCUAAGGCUUUCUCGUUACGCUAUAGGUAUUAUUAAAGAGGAAAAAGACAAGUAAAGGAAAUUUGAAGAUGGUUUAAAUGAUUCCAUUAGAAAGAAUGUGGCGAUCCAGCAACAUGAGAACUUUUGUAAGUUAGUGUCUGCUACUUUUACUUGGGAACGACUUGAUAAAGAAGAAGCUAGUACAAAUGAAAACAAAUUUCGAAAGCCUAGACCAGAUUUUGGGGGUCCAUCAAAAAAGGGAAGGUUUGAUAAUUCUAAGGCUGGUAGUGAUAACAGGCCAUCGCAACAAAAGCAAAACAUAUUAGAUUUUUCUACAGCUAGCACUCCAAAUUAUGGCCAAGGCAAGCCUCGUGUUCCCACUUGUCCGCAAUGUGGAAAGAAUCAUUAUGGUACUUGCAGGAGAGCUUCUGGUGCAUGUUUCAAUUGUGAGAUCUUUGAUCAUAAAGUGAAGGAUUGUCCUAAUCCUAAUAAUGCUCCUUCCUUGAGAACUGAAGUCUCAGUUCAUAAGUCUUCUAUUAAUCCUCCUCAAACUAAUAGAGGUGCAAGACCUAAAAGCACCCAAGUAGCAGGUACAAGUGGAGCUAAUCAAGCUAGUGGACAAAGGGCAACUGCACGUGCUUAUGCUAUGAGGCAGAGGGAUGAUCAAGAUUUACAAAAUGUGGUUGUCGGUAAAUUAUACUUAUUUGUCUUAUGUGUGUUUACACUGUUUGAUCCUGGUUCUACACAUUCCUAUAUUUGUUCAUCACUUGUUCUUCCUGUAAAUGUGAAAUCUGUGAGACUUAAUUAUGAUGUGCUGGUUGAAGUCCUUUGGGUUAUCAGGUUGUGUGUAAUCGAAUUUAUCAUGAUUGUUCCUUCGUGAUUCAAAACCUGGUCUUCCCUGCUGAUUUGAUUGAAAUGCCCUUCAAGGAAUUUGAUGUUAUUAUCGGGAUGGAUUGGCUUCAAAAAUAUCAUGCAGUGGUAGAUUGUAGGUCAAAGCAUGUGACCUUUAAAGAUCCUACAUUUUCACACAUCAUUGUACAAGGUGAAAUAUCAUUGAUAUCUUGUAUUGUUUCUCCGACCUUGGCAAGAAAGUUGAUGGGUCAAGGUUGUAGGGCAUAUCUCGCUCACAUUAUUGAUACACAAUUGAAGAGUCCUUGUAUCCAGGACAUACCUGCUGUAUGUGAUUUUCCAGAAGUCUUCCAAGAAAACCAUCCUGGAUUGCCCCCGGAAAGAGAGGUUGAAUUUCCAAUCGAGCUUAUUCCUGGAUCUACCCCUAUUUCUAUCACUCUAUAUAGAAUGGCUCUGGUAGAAUUAAGAGAAUUGAAAUCUCAAUUUCAAGAACUUCUUGAGAAAGGUUUUAUUCGACCUAGUGUUUCUCCUUGGGGAGUCCCUGUUUUGUUCGUAAAGAAGAAAGAUGGCACUCUUAGGCUUUGUAUUGACUAUAGACAAUUGAACAGAAUAACAAUCAAGAAUAGAUAUCCACUACCAAGGAUCGAUGACUUGUUUGACCAACUUAAGGGUGCUAAAAUGUUCUCAAAGAUUGAUUUAAGGUAUGGAUAUCACCAACUGCGUGUUAGAGAGAAAGAUAUUCCUAAAACUGCUUAUAGAACUCGGUAUGGUCAUUACGAAUUUUUGGUGAUGUCAUUCGGAUUGACAAAUGCUCAUGUGGUAUUAAUCGAUCUAAUGAAUCGAGUAUUCAAGCCUUAUCUUGAUCAGUUUGUGGUUGUUUUUAUUAGAUGAUAUUUUAAUAUUUUCUAGAAGUAGUGAAGACCAUGAUAAACACCUCUGGAUUAUUUUGAAAAUUUUGAAGGAGAAAGAACUUUAUGCUAAACUUUCGAAGUGUGAAUUUUGGCUUGAUGAAGUGACGUUUCUGGGACAUGUUUUAUCAGCCGAAGGUGUGAAGGUGGAUCCUAGUAAGAUACAAGCAGUUGUUGAAUGAUGACCUCCCAAAAGUCCAAACGAGGUAAGAAGUUCCUUAGGGUUAGCAUGAUAUUAUAGAAGAUUUGUGAAAGGCUUUUCCAUAAUCGCCUCUCCAUUGACUAAACUCUUGCAGACGUAAGUGAAGUUUAAUUAGAAUGACAAAUGCCAAGAGAGCUUAGAAACUCUCAAAUCCUUGUUGACUCAAGCGCCUAUACAGUGAUGCUUCUCACAAUGGACUCUGAUGCAUUUUGAUGCAAGAAGGGAAGGUUAUUUCUUAUGCCUCUCGAAAAUUAAAACCUCAUGAAUUGAAUUAUCCUACCCAUGAUCUUGAACUUGCUGUUGUAGUGUUUGCUUUAAAAAUAUGGCGGCAUUAUUUGUAUGGAGAGAAAUGUCAUAUAUUCAUUGAUCACAAGAGCUUAAAGUACUUGGGUACUCAGAAGGAGCUAAACCUUCGACAAUGUAGAUGGCUUGAACUCAUCAAGAAUUACGACUGCACGAUUGAUUAUCAUCCAGGUAAAGCCAAUGUGGUUGCAGAUGCCUUAAGUAAAAAAUCCUUCGCAAGCAUUUCCUUGAGUCCUUUACCCUUGCUUCUUGAGUUAAGAGUCAUGAAUGUUUGUUUUACACCUGAUGCAAAUGGUUCAGUUAUUUCUAAGUUGCAAGUAAAGCCAAUAUUAGUUGAACAGGUGAAGGAAGCACAAAAGAUAGAUGAGUAACUUGUAAAAUUGACCAGAGAAGUUCAAAAUGGGGGAAAACAUGAUUUUACAUUAACAAAGUAUGGUGUCUUAUUUUAUCAAAACAGGUUAUGCGUCCCUAAUGAUGACAAAUUGAGGGGAAAAAUACCGAAUGAAUCACAUACUUCACCAUAUUCAAUGCAUCUUGGAGGUAUAAAGAUAUACCAGACCAUCAAAGAACAUUAUUGGUGGAAUGGUAUGAAGAGAGACAUUGCGGAGUUGAUUUCUAAAUGUUUGGUUUGUCAACAAGUAAAGGCAGAACAUCAGGUCCCAAUUGGUUUACUACAACCCUUGUCGAUACCGGAAUGGAAAUGGGAGAGAAUAAUUAUGGACUUUGUUUCUGGAAAUCCUCGCACCCAAAGAAAUCAUGAUGCAAUAUGGGUGACUGUGGAUAGGCUAACCAAGAGUGCUCACUUCUUAGCAAUCAAGAUGGAUUACUCACUUGAGCAUUUAGCUGAAUUGUACGUUAAUGAGAUUGUAAGACUACAUGGGAUCCCUGUGUCUAUUGUGUCUGACCGAGACCCAAGGUUUACAUCUAGAUUUUGGGGUAGCUUGCAGCAAGACUUGGGUACUAAGUUGAAAUUUAGAACUUCGUUCCAUCCUCAAACAGAGGGCCAGUCAGAAAGAGUGAUACAAAUUUUGGAGGAUAUGCUUUGAGCUUGCAUUAUGGAGUUUGAGGGUAGUUGGGAAAAACACUUGGCUUUGAUAGAAUUUGCUUAUAAUAAUAGCUACCAAUCAAGUAUUGGAAUGCCUCCCUAUGAAGCCCUAUACGGAAGAAAAUGUCGGACCCCUCUUUGUUGGAGUGAAGUUGGUGAAAGAAAGCUUAUUGGUCCUGAAAUUACGCAACAAACAGAGGACAAGGUAAAAAUUAUCAAGGAUCAUCUAAAUAUUUCUUCGGAUAGACAAAAGUGGUACGCUGAUCUUAAAAGGCGGGACAUUGAAUAUCAAGUGGAAGAUAAAGUAUUCUUAAAGGGGUCUCCAUGGAAAAAGAUUAUGAGAUAUGGCCAAAAAGGAAAACUUAGUCCCCGAUUUAUUGGACCUUAUGAGAUACUUGAAAGGGUUGGACGAGUUGCAUAUAAAUUAGCUUUGCCACCAGAGUUGGAGAAGAUCCACAAUGUCUUUCAUGUUUCUAUGCUCAGAAGAUAUCGUUUUGAUCUAUCGCAUGUUCUUUCGGUUGAAUCUAUAGAGAUUAAUCCUGACUUGACUUAUAAUGAAGAACCUAUCCGAAUUGAAGCUCGAGAAGUAAAGCAACUUAGAAACAAGAGAAUCCCCUUAGUAAAGGUUCUUUGGAUGAACCAUUCUGCAAAAGAAGCUACCUGCGAAAGAGAAAAAGACAUGAGGACCCAGUAUCCGCACUUGUUCCGGAACUAGUGUAAGGUAAAUUUCGAGACGAAAUUUCUUUAAGGGGGAGAGAGUUGUAACACCCCUAAAUAUUAACCAAGAGUCGCAUGUCGAUUUACCGUUGGUUAAUUACUACAAUAUGUUUUACUCUCAUUUUGGGAACUUGAAAUGUUGUGAUAAUUGCUAACUUACUUAACAUAAAUUUUGAUCGUAAUUUAAGGGAUUGCAGUGGAGUGUUUAGGUAAUAUUCAAAUUAGAAUUAUGUAUCACUUUAAAAGGAGGUGAAGGAUAUAUAUAUAGGUGUAUAUGUAUGCUUUUUGGGCAGCCUACUUUUAUUUGGGCAGCCCUUUUAGGGACAGCUGUACAAGUGACUACCCUCACUUUUGAGACUAUAUUUUGACACCUCUUCUAGUCAAAUUUGUCUCACCUGAAGUAUAGGAACCUUAGAACAUUAUCUAACAAGUUGUUCUUCAAAAUCACAAGAGAGAAACUUGGCCCUUUUGGCUGGAAUUCGACAACACACACUUCUUUUUGGUAAGUGACGAAAUCUGUUUCUGAGCUGGGUAGUGUUUGGUAUUUUAUGCAUAGCUCUUUAUCUAAAAAUUAGUGUACAGUGAAUAAAUAUGAUUUGGAAAGCUAAUUCGUAGACCUACAACUCUUAUGUUUAUUUAAAAUUCUAAUUUAGUUGUUAUAGAUUGGAAAUAUGGGACACAACAUGGGACAAGUUCUGUCCAGAUUUUGAAAUUACAAAUCCUGUUUGAACAACUGCUAGUGUUUUGAAUAUAUCUUGUUGUACAAAAUAUAUUUUUUGGUGAUUCCUGUUUUUUUGCAACCCUAAGAGAUGUAUCUACAUCUUUCAUGAAGGUUAUAAAGUCUAGUUUUGCCGUUUUCCUUUUCAAAUGUAAGUUGCGACAUGAGGUACUAGGCGGGCCAAAAUUACUGUUUUGGGAGCAUAGUCGUAUUUUUACAGGCUAAGCUUACUUUUGAUGAUAAUCCUGCUUUACCUCACCAUUAUUGAGCUUCUAGGAAUUAAAGAAGUUAUUUAAUUGUAUUUUUAAGGUUUUAUAUACUCAUGAACAAGUUGAGGACCUUGAUACGUUGGUUGGUCUACGGUUUGAACUCGUGAAGUUGUGUUGGACUAUUUCUAUGCUAAAGCACUGAGGUUUGUGUAUUAACUUGUACUUGCACUCUUUUAACUGCUGGUAUCUCUGAAAGUUGAUCUUGGUACCUUGGUUACCACUUGUCACUUUGCAUUGUCGUGUUGGUAUCCUUUAAGAUGUUAAAGACGAUUGUGUAACUGGCCCACUUGUACGGAUUGUUUGAUCACCUGGCACUCUUGUUAGGACCUUGUCCUUCUUGUGGCAGUGACUUUGUCACUAUUGGCAUGCCUCUUGAUUAAGAUCAUUUGCCAUCUUGACUCUGGAUUUGUAGUCCAUCUUAAGAAUGGAAGUUGUCCAUUUUAAGUACGAACUAGAAAGCCAUUUUUAAUAUCUGGUUGUGCUUGGUGUGACGACUUGAUGUAUAUAUUGGGCGAGCGUUGUUGUUGAAUCUCUUGGAAAAUGAUGCUAUGAGCGACAUGAUGUAUAUAUUGGGCGAGCCUUGCUAUUGAAUCUCUAGGAAUUUUGUGCUAUGAGCAUUUUUGACAUUUGGAUCUUUAAAUAUCGAACUUGAUACUCUUAUUAUAUUGUUUACUUGAUGUAAUUAUUAUGUUUCAAUGGUGCUGCCCAUGACUUGAGAAAGUUAACUUGGUGAAUCUGAUGGCUCCGAACCUAUAGUUUU